GCCAGAGUGGUGAAAUUGGUAUACACGCUAGGCUUAGGACCUAGUUCCGAUUAUUCGGAUUGUGGGUUCGAGUCCCACCUCUGGUACUA
Molecule: transfer RNA, 89 nt
Filed under: Fidelibacterota bacterium
Lineage: Bacteria; Pseudomonadati; Fidelibacterota
Description: Candidatus Marinimicrobia bacterium tRNA-Leu
Rfam family: tRNA
About the family: Transfer RNA (tRNA) molecules are approximately 80 nucleotides in length. Their secondary structure includes four short double-helical elements and three loops (D, anti-codon, and T loops). Further hydrogen bonds mediate the characteristic L-shaped molecular structure. tRNAs have two regions of fundamental functional importance: the anti-codon, which is responsible for specific mRNA codon recognition, and the 3' end, to which the tRNAs corresponding amino acid is attached (by aminoacyl-tRNA synthetases). tRNAs cope with the degeneracy of the genetic code in two manners: having more than one tRNA (with a specific anti-codon) for a particular amino acid; and 'wobble' base-pairing, i.e. permitting non-standard base-pairing at the 3rd anti-codon position.
Source: RNAcentral